RNAcentral lists this ribosomal RNA (253 nucleotides) under uncultured bacterium. RNAcentral's name for it is "partial 16S ribosomal RNA". It matches the Rfam family "Bacterial small subunit ribosomal RNA", at positions 524 to 776 of the family's 1533-position model. The record is from RNAcentral.
UACGUAGGGGGCAAGCGUUGUCCGGAUUUAUUGGGCGUAAAGAGCGUGUAGGCGGUCCGGUAAGUCCGCUGUGAAAGUCGGGGGCUCAACCCUCGGAUGCCGGUGGAUACUGUCGGGCUUGAGUACGGAAGAGGCGAGUGGAAUUCCUGGUGUAGCGGUGAAAUGCGCAGAUAUCAGGAGGAACACCAAUUGCGAAGGCAGCUCGCUGGGACGUUACUGACGCUGAGACGCGAAAGCGUGGGGAGCAAACGGG